RNAcentral lists this unclassified non-coding RNA (289 nucleotides) under uncultured fungus. Its description in RNAcentral is "partial contains small subunit ribosomal RNA, internal transcribed spacer 1, and 5.8S ribosomal RNA". The stretch from base 1 to 73 matches the Rfam family "Eukaryotic small subunit ribosomal RNA", at positions 1759 to 1831 of the family's 1831-position model. The record is from RNAcentral. Lineage: Eukaryota; Fungi.
CCAAACUUGGUCAUUUAGAGGAAGUAAAAGUCGUAACAAGGUCUCCGUUGGUGAACCAGCGGAGGGAUCAUUAUAGAGUUACUGAAACUCCCAAACCCUUUGUGAACUUACUAUAUUGUUGCCUCGGUAGUGCCGGUAGUCAUUUGAUUAAAUACUACCACUAACGGCCUGCCGAAGGUCCCCAUUUAAAACUCUUGUUUCUUAAUUUGAAAUUCUGAAUUUAUAAACUAAAUAAGUUAAAACUUUCAACAACGGAUCUCUUGGUUCUGGCAUCGAUGAAGAACGCAGC